CGAAAGUUGGUUUCUUCGGACACUCUUCAAGGUGCUGCAUGGUUGUCGUCAGCUCGUGCCGUGAGGUGUCGGGUUAAGUCCCAUAACGAGCGCAACCCUUACUGUUAGUUGCCAGCGGGUCAAGCCGGGAACUCUAACGGGACUGCCACCGUAAGGUGAGAGGAAGGUGGGGAUGACGUCAAAUCAGCACGGCCCUUAUGUCCAGGGCUACACACGUGUUACAAUGGUCGGUACAAAGGGCAGCUACACCGCGAGGUGAUGCUAAUCUCUAAAGCCGGUCUCAGUUCGGAUCGAAGUCUGCAACCCGACUUCGUGAAGUUGGAUUCGCUAGUAAUCGCGCAUCAGCCAUGGCGCGGUGAAUACGUUCCCGGGCCUU
RNAcentral lists this ribosomal RNA (376 nucleotides) under uncultured Sphingobacteriales bacterium. RNAcentral's name for it is "bacterial SSU rRNA". It matches the Rfam family "Bacterial small subunit ribosomal RNA", at positions 1002 to 1382 of the family's 1533-position model. The record is from RNAcentral. Lineage: Bacteria; Pseudomonadati; Bacteroidota; Sphingobacteriia; Sphingobacteriales.